This 1241-nucleotide ribosomal RNA is filed under the name metagenome. RNAcentral's name for it is "bacterial LSU rRNA". It matches the Rfam family "Bacterial large subunit ribosomal RNA", at positions 1564 to 2814 of the family's 2925-position model. The record is from RNAcentral.
UGAAUACGAGACGCUAAGGCGUCGAAGUAGUGUAUGUCAUACUUCCAAGAAAAGCUUGCACUGUCAUAGAUAAAAAACGCCUGUACCAUAACCGACACAGGUGGGUAGGUAGAGUAUACUAAGGGGCGCGAGAUAACUCUCUCUAAGGAACUCGGCAAAAUAACUCCGUAACUUCGGGAGAAGGAGUGCCUUAUUUUUGAGGCUGCAAUAACAAGAUCCAAGCAACUGUUUAUCAAAAACACAGGUCUCCGCUAAGUCGUAAGACGAUGUAUGGGGGCUGACGCCUGCCCAGUGCCAGAAGGUUAAAGAAGUUGGUUAGCUUUUGCGAAGCUGAUAACUGAAGCCCUGGUGAACGGCGGCCGUAACAAUAACGGUCCUAAGGUAGCGAAAUUCCUUGUCGGGUAAGUUCCGACCCGCACGAAAGGCGUAAUGAUUUGGAUACUGUCUCGGAGAGGGGCUCGGUGAAAUAGACUUGUCUGUGAAGAUGCGGACUACCUGCACCAGGACAGAAAGACCCUAUGAAGCUUUACUGUAACUUGAAAUUGAAAUUGGACUUUAUUCGCGCAGCAUAGGUGGGAGGCGUUGAUUAUAAUCUCGUGGGAUUAUUGGAGCCAUCAGUGAGAUACCACUCUUGUAAUGUUAGAUUUCUAACUUUGAAUCAUUAUCUGGUCAAAGAACAGUUUCAGGCGGGCAGUUUGACUGGGGCGGUCGCCUCCUAAACGGUAACGGAGGCGUACAAAGGUUUCCUCUGAACGGUUAGAAAUCGUAUCUAGAGUGUAAAGGCAUAAGGAAGCUUGACUGUGAGACCUACAAGUCGAGCAGGGACGAAAGUCGGUCUUAGUGAUCUGACGGUACUGAGUGGAAAGGCCGUCACUCAACGGAUAAAAGUUACUCUAAGGAUAACAGGCUGAUCUCCCCCAAGAGUUCACAUCGGCGGGGAGGUUUGGCACCUCGAUGUCGGCUCAUCGCAUCCUGGGGCGGUAGUACGUCCCAAGGGUUGGGCUGUUCGCCCAUGAAAGCGGUACGCGAGCUGGGUUCAGAACGUCGUGAGACAGUUCGGUCCAUAUCCGGUGUAGGCGUUAGAAUAUUGAGAGGAGCCUUCUUUAGUACGAGAGGACCGAGAAGGACAUACCUCUGGUGUACCAGUUAUCGUGCCAACGGUAAACGCUGGGUAGCUAUGUAUGGAGUGGAUAACCGCUGAAAGCAUCUAAGUGGGAAGCCCACCUCAAGAUAAGUAUUCU